ACAAAAAGUCAUGCCUUAUUUCCCAGUUUUUCAUCCCCACUUCCAAAUCUGCCUUCUUUAAAGAGGAUUUAAUUUAAUGAUUUAUGGAGUGUGUAACCGAUGGCCAGAUUGAAUGUUCAUUCAAUUUCUUGCAUUGAAGAUGUGGAUUGAAUCCCAUUUAACCUUUACAAGAAACUGAAGAAGUUAAACGCCCCUUUUAUUUACUCAUCAUCACCCUGCAACCGUUUACAUCAUCAGAAGCAGCAAUAGUUACAAUCAACAAAUCCAUAAGCAUUUCUCUGUGUCUCCCCAAAUUCCCAAUUUCUCAUACCUGAAGACAAAAUCUGGCAUUUCUGACCCCCAUAGGGGUUGGUCGAUGGCGGUUAUAGGUGAGGGGAACGCCGGUGGUGAUAAUAUCGCAAACCUGGUUAGGAUUUUAAUUAGAGGUGCUCGAUUGCCGUGAAUAGAAGGGUGGCAACAGUUAAAGUUGAUGAAGGACUGUGAACAUGGCAAAAGGAUGGCGGCGGAGCCGGAGAAAGGUGGAUGAGGUGAUUGCGGAGGUCCGGCGAUGGGGGCGGCGAUAAUGGCUUCGGUCAUGACCCUGCGGAUAUUGCUGGACUUGAAUCUGCACUAAAUAACCACAAAGUGUUAGUCUUUUCUUCAUGGAGUGAUUGCUUUUUAUCCAUGGAGUGAUUGCUUUUUAUCUGUUGGAGAUGAUUCGUGUGUCGCUUUAGCUUCACUUGACACUUUACGGGUCGAGAGAAUGCAUAGCAACAUCUGCAUGGUGGCGAGGGAGGGACGACUGACUGAACAAUUUGCUACUUCAGUGCAAAAUAUUCUUACCGUUGAUAUGAGGUACAAUCCUUUAUCAUAUUUCCAAUUUAUUUGUAUUUAUCUUACUAGCUAUAUGCAACACUUGAUGAACUUUUUCAGAUACUUCUGUUUGAAACUGAAUUUGACAUAAAUAUCAUACAUUUUUUGUUUAUAUUAUAUAAAUUGUCAACUUACAAGCUGCAUAAUGCUUUCCCGAUCAUAACCUAGUAGUUUGGCGGCGUUCACUGAACUUACUAUCAAGGUAUGUAUGUUAUGAGGUUAUAUAUACGCACACGCCCACACACUUUUUUGUUGUAGUUGUUGUUGUUGUUGUUAUUGUUAUUAUUACAAUGAUGGUGUUUUAAUGUUGUAUGGCGCUGGACAUCAUUCGUCUGUGGAAUGGAUUCUGCUAAACAAGAGAGGCAACCACUAUUGAUAAGCCAGAGACCGGAAUGGUCCAAUGCUACUGAGUUGUUCCCAAACGACGACCCUAAUUCCAUCAUUCGAUUGCAUACUUGGAAUGGUUUGCCGAGAUCAUGGGCUACUUUCGAGCCAUGUAUUUGUAUGCGGGUUGACUUUUUUUUAUUCUUAUUUGUUGUUUUCCAGCGUUAUAUAUACAGAAAAAGUAACCAGCUGCGAAGUGUAUGUAGUUUUCAUGAAGACAAGAUCAGCUGCAUUUGUUUUGCAGCGUUUGCGUUAGAUAUGUUGUUUUGCAGCCUAACUAAAUUUAGGAGUUACAUCGUUUUUACUUUGAAAUUCGUUGAAGCUGUCAUAUUUCAGACUAUUAAGUUUACGACACUAAUCCAUUCAAUACUAAUAUACUAUGUUAAGAGUCUUUUCUAUGAAAGUGUUUUCGCUUAAAGUAUUCAAUAUUGACAUACGUAAAAUGUAAUAAACAAAUUACUUUUGUAUCUCUGAUUUAAAUUUAAUGUAGUUUGCUUCCUUCUUUACCCUAACAGGUUUGAGGGCACUUCGAGCAGUGUAGCUUCAAGAACUUAAAUCUCUGUGGCUUCCAUCCCUGAUCCCGCCGGUUUCCAGUCUCUCCAUGGCUUCAAUCCUUGGCUCCCCGUGUGUCUCUCUUCUUUCUCUCACGGUCUCUCUAUCUCCUUCUCUUUCCCUCUCUAUUUAAAUUUUUUUUUCAAUAUAAAAAAGGGUGUGGAUGGUGAGAAAUGUUCUCAGGGACCAACAAGUCAAUUCCAAUGGUUUUCUUUAUCACUGAUGGCACUGCUGAAAAUGAAAGACAGAUCUGUGAAGUAAUGCAGAAGCAACAAAAAACAAAGGAUCAGAACUGUUUCCUCGUAUUCACACGUUUGGUAUAGGUUCAUUCUGCAAUCAUUACUUCUUGCGAAUGCUAGCGAUGAUGAGCAAGGGACAUUAUGAUGCCUCUUAUGACACGGAGAUAUAUACGAGAAGCCACUGAUGACUAUUGUGGGCUUCUAAACCUGCUUCUUCAAUAAUGACAUGUAAUUGAUGGUCCAGAUGAUCUGGAAAUUUACCCUUCAACCAUUCCAGAUCUUUGUUAUAAUAGACCAUUGAUCAUAUCAGGGAGAUAGAAAAACUGGAAGCUAAGGGCACCAUUGCUGAUAUGAGUAACUUCACUAUUGACAUAGAAGUACAACACACAAAUGACAUACCACUUGAAAAGGCUGAUGUGCGUUUUUGUUUGAGGCUUUCGUUUGUGAAGAUGGUUUGGUGGACCAUUUGUGUUUGGGUUAAGGUCUUAACAGCGCUUUCGAAAUCUAUGACAUGAUUUUAACUUCAACUUAACUUGAACAGGACUCCCUCAAUAGGAGUAUUGGUAAUUUCCUUCCAAAUCAUACACAAGCAGUUUGUGAAUUUUAGAGAGAAGUCGACAUCCAUUUGGCCUAUUGGCAACAGAGAUGCAGAGGAAAUCUUUGAAGAGGUAUUAUUUGAUAGGAUUGGGCAAUCCGCUUCAGAUGCUCGGACGUUUUCAAGCCGUGAAAGAGAGUUAGAUUGAUUUCAAUUAUGUUACAAUAUUUGUCUUAGUGGUAUUUCUUUAUAUACCUAAAGAGACAGAUCAACUUUUUAAUGGGUUUCGUAAGAAAUGGGAUUCGGGUAGUCAUGAUGAAACCGUGUGUUGAUGGAGUUUACAAGGUGAUUUACACUCUGUCGCAUCGUGCGAGCUCCUGACUAGGUUGUACAACAACCUCCCAUGAUAUCAUCACUUCACUACCACUUGAUUGCCUGAUGUCAUGUCGUGUUGUCGACUCCGCCGCAACGCACGGGUUUCCCACUAUUGCAUACAAAUGGACCACCAUCUUAUCUUGAAGGGCUUUCUACGGUUUGUAUUCAAGCAAUAAGAACUCUCCAUCUUAUCGUGAAGGGCUUUCUACGGUUCUCAAGCACCCUGCAAUUGGAGGAUUCUUGACGCACAAUGGAUGGAACUCAACACUUGAGAGUAUUAGCAGUGGUGUUCCGGUCCUUUGUUGGCCGUUUUUUGCAGAACAACAAACAAAUUGUCGGGAUCGGAAUGGAAAUCGAUACAAAUGUCAAGAGAGAGUAGGUGGAGGCUCAAGUGUGGGAGAUCAUAGAUGGGACGAAAGGAAAGAUGAUGAAAGUGAAAGCUUUGGACUUGAAGAAGAAAGCUGGAGAAGCAGACACCAUUGAUGGAUCGUCUUAUCUCAACUUUGACCAAUUAGUUACCAAAAUUCUGUUAAAAAGUGAAGUUGCAAUUUAUAUGUAUACUUUCUACCAGCAGAUAAACAUUCUAUUGUCCUUAGUUUAAUUCUUUGCACUAUCAAUAUCAUUCAUAUU
Long non-coding RNA from Helianthus annuus (common sunflower), 3567 nucleotides. RefSeq lists it as uncharacterized. The record is from RefSeq and is a predicted model, not a curated record. Lineage: Eukaryota; Viridiplantae; Streptophyta; Magnoliopsida; Asterales; Asteraceae. The transcript is spliced from 12 exons.